RNAcentral lists this ribosomal RNA (945 nucleotides) under uncultured archaeon. RNAcentral describes it as "bacterial SSU rRNA". It matches the Rfam family "Archaeal small subunit ribosomal RNA", at positions 1 to 922 of the family's 1478-position model. The record is from RNAcentral.
UUCCGGUUGAUCCUGCCGGACCCCACUGCUAUCGGGAUGGGACUAAGACAUGCUAGUCGAGCGUCUCUAAGCUAUGGAAGAGACGCGGCAUACAGCUCAGUAACACGUGGCUAACCUGCCCUUGGGACAAGGACAACUCCGGGAAACUGGGGCUAAUCCCUGAUAAGUGAGAACUCCUGGAAUGGAUUCUCGCUGAAAGGACGUUUAGACCAUGCUUCUAGGCGUCGCCCAAGGAGGGGGCCGCGACCGAUCAGGUUGUUGGUGAGGUAACGGCUCACCAAGCCUUUAACCGGUACGGGCCGUGAGAGCGGAAGCCCGGAGAUGGGCACUGAGACAAGGGCCCAGGCCCUACGGGGCGCAGCAGUCGCGAAAACUCCGCAAUACACGAAAGUGUGACGGGGCCAUCCCGAGUGCCAUCCGCUGAGGAUGGCUUUUCCCCAGUGUAUAAAGCUGGGGGAAUAAGGAGAGGGCAAGCCUGGUGUCAGCCGCCGCGGUAAUACCAGCUCUCCGAGUGGUGGGGAUGUUUAUUGGGCCUAAAGCAUUCGUAGCCUGCUUGGCAAGUCCUCCGUUAAAUCCAACGAUUCAAUCGUUGGGCUGCGGGGGAUACUGUCCAGCUAGGGGGCGGGAGAGGCCGACGGUAUCCCCGGGGUAGGGGUGAAAUCCUAUAAUCCCGGGAGGACCACCAGUGGCGAAGGCUGUCGGCUAGAACGCGCUCGACGGUGAGGGAUGAAAGCUGGGGGAGCGAACCGGAUUAGAUACCCGGGUAGUCCCAGCUGUAAACGAUGCAGGCUAGGUGUUGGCGCGGCUACGUGCCGCUCCAGUGCCGCAGGGAAGCCGUUAAGCCUGCCGCCUGGGAAGUACGGUCGCAAGGCUAAAACUUAAAGGAAUUGGCGGGGGAGCACCACAAGGGGUGAAGCCUGCGGUUCAAUUGGAUUCAACGCCGGA